AGAGUUUGAUCCUGGCUCAGAACGAACGCUGGCGGCAUGCCUAACACAUGCAAGUCGAACGAGACCUUCGGGUCUAGUGGCGCACGGGUGCGUAACGCGUGGGAAUCUGCCCUUGGGUUCGGAACAACAGUUAGAAAUGACUGCUAAUACCGGAUGAUGACUUCGGUCCAAAGAUUUAUCGCCCAAGGAUGAGCCCGCGUCGGGUUAGCUUGUUGGUGAGGUAAAAGCUCACCAAGGCGACGAUCCGUAGCUGGUCUGAGAGGAUGAUCAGCCACACUGGGACUGAGACACGGCCCAGACUCCUACGGGAGGCAGCAGUGGGGAAUAUUGGACAAUGGGCGAAAGCCUGAUCCAGCAAUGCCGCGUGAGUGAUGAAGGCCUUAGGGUUGUAAAGCUCUUUUACCCGGGAUGAUAAUGACAGUACCGGGAGAAUAAGCCCCGGCUAACUCCGUGCCAGCAGCCGCGGUA
Molecule: ribosomal RNA, 468 nt
Filed under: uncultured Pseudomonadota bacterium
Lineage: Bacteria; Pseudomonadati; Pseudomonadota
Description: bacterial SSU rRNA
Rfam family: Bacterial small subunit ribosomal RNA
Source: RNAcentral